RNAcentral lists this ribosomal RNA (464 nucleotides) under uncultured bacterium. Its description in RNAcentral is "partial 16S ribosomal RNA". It matches the Rfam family "Bacterial small subunit ribosomal RNA", at positions 338 to 795 of the family's 1533-position model. The record is from RNAcentral.
CCUACGGGCGGCAGCAGUGGGGAAUAUUGCGCAAUGGGCGAAAGCCUGACGCAGCGACGCCGCGUGAGGGAUGAAGGUCUUCGGAUCGUAAACCUCUGUCAGCAGGGAAGAACGGUCACUGUGCUAAUCAGCAGUGAAUUGACGGUACCUGCAGAAGAAGCUCCGGCUAACUACGUGCCAGCAGCCGCGGUAAUACGUAGGGGGCGAGCGUUAUCCGGAUUCAUUGGGCGAAAAGCGCGCGUAGGCGGCCGCCUAAGCGGGACCUCUAACCCCGGGGCUCAACCCCGGGCCGGGUCCCGGACUGGGCGGCUGGAGUGCGGUAGAGGAGAGCGGAAUUCCCGGUGUAGCGGUGGAAUGCGCAGAUAUCGGGAAGAACACCGAUGGCGAAGGCAGCUGUCUGGGCCGUCACUGACGCUGAGGCGCGAAAGCUGGGGGAGCGAACAGGAUUAGAUACCCCUGUAGUC